This 250-nucleotide ribosomal RNA is filed under the name uncultured prokaryote. Its description in RNAcentral is "partial 16S ribosomal RNA". It matches the Rfam family "Bacterial small subunit ribosomal RNA", at positions 524 to 773 of the family's 1533-position model. The record is from RNAcentral.
UACGGAGGGUGCAAGCGUUGUUCGGAAAUACUGGGCGUAAAGGGUAUGUAGGCAGUUAUAUUAGUUAGGGGUGAAAUCCCAGGGCUUAACCUUGGAAUUGCCUUUAAGACGGUAUGACUAGAGAGCUUGAAGGGAUAAUGGAAUACCCAGUGUAGAGGUGGAAUUCGUAGAUAUUGGGUAGAACACCAGUGGCGAAAGCGGUUAUCUAGCGAGCAACUGACGCUGAGAUGCGAAAGCGUGGGGAUCAAAC